UACGGAGGGAGCUAGCGUUGUUCGGAAUUACUGGGCGUAAAGCGCGCGUAGGCGGCUUUGUAAGUUAGAGGUGAAAGCCCGGGGCUCAACCCCGGAAUUGCCUUUAAGACUGCAUCGCUAGAAUCCGGGAGAGGUGAGUGGAAUUCCGAGUGUAGAGGUGAAAUUCGUAGAUAUUCGGAGGAACACCAGUGGCGAAGGCGGCUCACUGGCUCGGUACUGACGCUGAGGUGCGAAAGCGUGGGGAGCAAACAGG
RNAcentral lists this ribosomal RNA (253 nucleotides) under uncultured bacterium. Its description in RNAcentral is "partial 16S ribosomal RNA". It matches the Rfam family "Bacterial small subunit ribosomal RNA", at positions 524 to 776 of the family's 1533-position model. The record is from RNAcentral.